This 66-nucleotide transfer RNA is filed under the name Podarcis lilfordi (Lilford's wall lizard). RNAcentral describes it as "tRNA.Lys". The stretch from base 2 to 58 matches the Rfam family "tRNA", at positions 9 to 63 of the family's 71-position model. From Rfam's summary of the family: Transfer RNA (tRNA) molecules are approximately 80 nucleotides in length. Their secondary structure includes four short double-helical elements and three loops (D, anti-codon, and T loops). The record is from RNAcentral. Lineage: Eukaryota; Metazoa; Chordata; Lepidosauria; Squamata; Lacertidae.
GAGCUCAGUCGGUAGAGCAUGAGCUUCUUAAUCUCAGGGUUGUGGGUUUGAGCCCCGUGUGAGAUA